Molecule: long non-coding RNA, 2716 nt
Filed under: Anas platyrhynchos (mallard)
Lineage: Eukaryota; Metazoa; Chordata; Aves; Anseriformes; Anatidae
Description: lncRNA (ENSAPLG00020016258.1)
Source: RNAcentral
GGAAAUCCCAACGCCUCCUCAUGGGGCUGUGCUGGGACAGACUGGUGCAGGAGCUCUCCCUGACCUUCCCCCCCCCCCAGGCCUGGCUCCCUGCUGUGCCAUGGGGACGUGCUCUUCCAGCCCCCCGCUCCCACCAGCCUGGAGGUCCUGGAGGCGCUCGUCUCUCGCCGUGGGGCCAGACUGAAGCCUUGGCUGGCUCUGCCUUCCACGUGGACCCCUAUUCCAUCGCUGUCGGAGGUAAGCUCCCUUUGGGGUGGGAGCUGGGGGGCUCCAGUGACCCCCAGGAAGGGCGCUGACCGCUGGCUCUGCUCCAGAGGACACCCUGGAGCCCCCUCCUGCUCCUGGCUUUCCUGAGUCCGUGGUGGCCAUCAUGGUCGUGUGCGUCCUCAGUCAUCGUUACCGUGCCCAUCAUCUUGCUGGUGGUAAGGGUGCUUGUCCGUCUGUCCGUCCAUCUGUCCCCUUGGGGGGGGUCAUGGAGCUCAGGGUGGCAGCUCGGAGGGUGGUGGGCACGAGGGCUGCGGUGCUUCACCUGGAUAAAAGAGGGACUGGGGAGGGUCCGGAGGUGUCACGGCUGUCUCAGCGCUGCACAAGGGUUGGGGUGCUCCAAAAUAACCCCAAAAAUCCUGGAGGGGGUGGGAAAUCCUAAUGGGGGGAGGCUGCAGUGUGAGCAGGGCCCGGCUGCAGCCUGGUGCUCCCCUCCCCAGGUCCUGAGGACCAGGAGGGGCAGCUGGAGCGAUGUGGCCGUCCUGUGGGACAGGAGAGACCCUGAAGUGGGGACGCAGACCCUGGAGAUGGAGAACCAAGGGUUCUGGGUGGCCUCCAAGCAGGACACAGAGGAGGCUUCUGCGUGCUGGCAGACGGACUCAGCAUCGUGAGGGAAGGAGCUGCUGGGCUGAAGGAGGUGAGGAGGGAUGCUGCAGCGCUGUCCUGCUCCCCCUUCCCUGCGGGAUGCCAGCUGCCCCCCGAGAAGGACGCAGGCUCUGGUAUAACUUUUUGUACAAAAAGCUUUAAUAAACUGUUUGUAGAACCCCACACCUGCCUCUCCUCUCUUUCUGCCUCUCCUGGGUGGGAUUUGGGGUCUGUGGGGCUUGCCCUUCACCCAGCCUUAAGGGCUAAGUAGGGUUUGGGAAGCCCAAGCCAUGACCCCAAACCUCCAGAGUUUGCUCAGCAAUCACUGCCUCUGCUGCUGCUACCCCUGGGGACUUGGGGGGCCAGGACUAAGCAACAGCAACUCUGAAAUAUUUUCAUAUUUAACUUCUCCUUAACCUGUGUUUUUCCCUUUUCUUUAUGGAAGCUGAGGCUGAGCUUUAGUUGGAAUAAAAGGUAGGAUACCCCAGGGCCUGUAGGUCUCCUGUUUAGCACUAGACCUGGGUCCUUGGACCCUUUCCCUCUUUUCUUAGGGGGGGUCUCUGGCACCACCACACUCCCCAUAGGAUAAAAACCAUAAAGAUGUGGAGGUGUUUCCCUGUAAUUUGGUCUGUCUGAUCCCCAGAAAGUAGGGCUGUGUGGGCAUCUCAUUUAUUAAUGUUAUUAGUGUUGUUUUAAAACUAAAACCCACUCCCCUGGGUGCUAAAGUGUACUUCCCGGUUCAUCUCUUUAUUUGGUGCUUGUGCACAGCUAAAGCAGCUCCUAAUUAAUUAAUUAACCAGGCAAUACUUAUGUAUACAGCUGUGGUGAUUAACAUUGAUACCCAAGUUAUGGCAGCGAUGGGUUUAUGGCCUUGUCAGAACCUGCUCACAGCAGCUGGUCGGAGGCUGAGCCUCUCUUCUGGUGCCCAAAUAGAAAGCUGGAGCUGAAAUGCAAACCAUAAUCUGAAAAUGAAGAAAACAUGGAGAAAACAGCAUGCUGGUGGUGAAACACAAGGCAAAACAGCAUUAGGUGGCUGGAGCUGGGAGAAGCCUGAGCAUCUCCUACCUGCUUACCGCUGGAGCAGACCCCUGGGACCUGGAGCUGGCAGCAGGGCAUGAGCUGCAAACAAAGACCCUGGGUAAAACACGGGGCUUAAGCCAAAAUGGUCACGGUGGUAGUGAAACCCAGCCAAAACUAGUUAUGGAGCAGUGUAUGCACGCUAGCACAAGGUGAAAACAAAUGCCACGAGCUGAAAAUACAGAGCUGGAGGUGGAACCUAGGGCACGGUGGGCAAAACCACAAGGAGCUGAAGCAGUUCCUACCUGGUGUGUGCUGAGAUGCAGGGCUGGGGCCAAAUGGAAGGCCUGGAGCUGGAAACUCAGGGCUUGAAUUAAAAAUGUAGACCUGGAGCUCAACUGCAGGGCUUGAGCUGAAAAUGAAGGAUCUGGGUGUAGGAUAAAUCCCGGGGAGCAGGGAGAGAUGAAAACGUUGCCCAGCUGGAGCUGUACGAAGCUGGAGCACCUCUUACCUGGAGCAGCCCCUGCGGAGCUGAGCUGCAGGGCAGGAGCUGUAACGAGGCAGCGCUGAAAGGAGCCGGAGCAUCAGGGGUGUGCGGUGCCUGCAGCUGGGACAGGGCCAAAAACCCAGCGCUGGAGCUGAAAUUAAACAUCUGGGAACAAAAGGUGCUGAAAGCGUAACGGAGGGUGAGGACACGGCACUGAGGGGGUGAGAACGGGAUGGGGGGAUGGGAAAGGGGCAUGGGGAUGCACCCAGUGGGGAGCAGCGGCCCCACUGCAGGCACUGCUGGGCACAUUCACCACCCACCAGCUCCUGGCAACACGGGACGGGACAGGGCAGGGACCCCUUG